This is a long non-coding RNA of Orcinus orca (killer whale), 2376 nucleotides long. RefSeq lists it as uncharacterized. The transcript is spliced from 2 exons. Lineage: Eukaryota; Metazoa; Chordata; Mammalia; Artiodactyla; Delphinidae. The record is from RefSeq and is a predicted model, not a curated record.
ACAACAGGGCGGCCAUCUUUGAAAGGGAUCACGUGACCCCGUCAGACAGGCGGGGUUUCUGGCCCCAGGACGAGGCAGCCAAUGGGCCGCGGGCGUCGCGCGGCCGAUUUCCUCUCUCCUGAGUCUCCUCCCGCCUCCGCCCCACCCUCUCCCCGGCCGCCGCGCGGGGCGGGGGGAGGGGCGAGCGGGGCCGCCGGCGGACCGGCCGAGCGCGGGGGGCGGGGCGGAGAGUUGCCAUGGCGACGGCACGGGAGCGGUGCGCGGGCCCGGCCCAGGCUUUUCUCUUUAGCGGCUCACAAACGCCUCUCGACUGUCCACGAUGCCGCCCAAACGAACUAAAAGAAACGGAAAACGUCUCCUUUCUGCGAUGAGCGUUCUCUACCAGCCUGACCGCUCACAUUCUGCAAAACCUUUCUACGUAGACUCUUCCUCCUCCGCAAGGAAAGCCCAUUUGGAAGAAAACUUUAACACAAGCAGAACUUCAUUUCAUUUCACUUUGUUCUUUUAGAGAGAUAAUUUCUGAUUUUUUUUUAAGUGUGUUCCAAAUUUGAAAGUAUAAAUGGGUUUGAGACCCAGAAAACUUUGAAGUGCAUACACAAACACAAGGGAGACUUGUGGAGCCAAGGAAAAGAAACCAUCGUCCUCACCUGGACAAGAAUACAAAAAAAAUUUUAAUUGAAAUGUGUGUGAUCAAAACAUCAUAUUAGUUUUAACGUGUACAGCAUAAUGAUUUGACAUACGUAUAUAUUGGGAAAUGAUUACCACAAUAUGUUAACACCCAUCACCAUACAUACUUGUUUUUUUGUUUUUUGUUUUUCUUGGAAUGAGCACUUUAAAGAGUUAUUCGCUUAGCAACUUUAAAAUAUAUGAUACAGUAUUGUUGACUAUAGUCCCAAUGCUGUACAUGACACCCACAGGACUUCUUAUAACUGAGUUUGUACCUUUUGACCACCUUCACCAUUUUGCCCACGCACUAUCCCCCUCUGGCAACCACAAAUCUGUUCUCUGAAGAAUGCAAAUAUUUUAUAAUAUACAAGUCUAAACAGUGGUCAAUGUUUAACAGUGUCAUGAAAUUCCAGAUUUUGCCACCUACGAAGAAUGUAAUGUAUGGGAUGGUUUACUUAACCAUAAUAUUACAGAUUGCAUUCCAGAAUUAAAAGUCACAAUUUUUUUUUCCUGCUACUUACUUAAAAUAGUAACCUGACAACCAGAUAUGUAAGGAAUUUGUAAGUAAAAUUAGACCACUGCUGGCUUUACAUAUUAUCUGCUCUCCAGGAAAGGAAUUCUGUGUAAGCCAGAAUUUAGACGCCUGUUGACAUUGAUAUCAGUACAUUUACUUCUUUUUUUAAACGUGGUCAUUGCCAUGUAAUUCGUAUUCCAUACAAUUCACCCAUUUAAAGUGUACGAUGGUUGUAGAAUAUUCACAGUUAUCAACCAUCAUCACUAAUUCCAGAACAUUUCAUCACCCCAGAAAGAAACCCUGUACCUGUUAACAGUCACUCCCCAUUCUCCCCUCCCCUCCCCUCCCUCUGGGCAACCACUAAUCUACUUUCUGUCUCUACCAGUGGAAUCCUACUCUAUGUGGCUUUUUGUGUCCAGCUGCUUUUAUUUAGCAUAUGUUUUCAAAGUUUAUCCAUGCUGCAGUAUGUAUCAGUACUUCAUUUCUUUAAUGCCGAACAAUAUUCCAUUGUAUGGAUAUACCACAUUUUGUUUAUUCAUUCAUCAGCUAAUGGACAUUUGGGUUGUUUCCACUAUUUGGUUAUUAUGAAUAAUGCUGCUAUCAAUAUUUAUGUGUAAGUUUUUGUGUGGACAUUUGUUUUAAUUUCUCUUGGAUAUAUACCUAGGAGGAGAAUUUCUGGGUUUUAUGUUUAACUUUUCAAGCAACUGAAAAACUGUUUUCCAAAGUGCCACACCAUUGUACAUUCCACCAGCAACAUAUGAGGGUUCCAAUUUCUCCAAUCCUCACCAACACUUGUUAGUAUCUCUUUUUUAGAAUAGUCACACUAGUAGAUGUGAAGUGGUAUCUCAUUGCAGCUUUGUGUUUUCAUUCCUCUGAGGGCUAACAAUAUUGAGCAUCUUUUCAUGUAUUUAUUAGUUAUUUGUAUAUCUUUGGACAAAUAUCUGUCCAAAUCCUUUGUUCAUUUUUUAAUUGGUUAUUUGUCUUUUUAUUUUUGAGUUGUAAGAGUUCUUUAUAUACUCUGGAUAUUAGUCCCUUAACAAACAUGUAAUUUAUAAAUAUCUUUCCCAUUCUGUGGGUUGUCAUUUCACUUUCUUGAUAGUAUCAUUUGCAGCACAAAUUUUUUUAUUUUGAUGUAGUCCAAUUUCUUUCUUUUGUCAUUUGUGCUUUUGAUGUAAUACAUUCACUUUUACAAGGCA